Molecule: signal recognition particle RNA, 283 nt
Filed under: Corchorus capsularis
Lineage: Eukaryota; Viridiplantae; Streptophyta; Magnoliopsida; Malvales; Malvaceae
Description: SRP RNA Plant_SRP
Rfam family: Plant signal recognition particle RNA
Source: Rfam by way of RNAcentral
GCUGAGCUGGGUAACGCUAGCUUGUAAUUCAAGUGGGAGCUUUGAGGUGACUGGACAAUGACUCAACCCAUUAGGUAGGGUGCGUGGGUGCGUAUUUCUAGCCCGCCCGUUCUAAGUCGAGAGUUGAGCCAUGUAGGUCGAGCGAAGGCUUGGGUGGGCACCGCGUGAGGCUGGUUUCACAGAGCAACGAAAACCUCCCGCUCUCGAUAGUGGAAGGAUAACGGGCCGGUGCUUCCCAGACCCGAAUUACCUGAUGGGCUGACAUCAAUUGGACUUCAUCUUU